This 142-nucleotide ribosomal RNA is filed under the name Apicomplexa sp. Its description in RNAcentral is "partial small subunit ribosomal RNA". It matches the Rfam family "Eukaryotic small subunit ribosomal RNA", at positions 1297 to 1460 of the family's 1831-position model. Lineage: Eukaryota; Apicomplexa. The record is from RNAcentral.
GUUCGUGGACUGAUUUGUCUGGUUGAUUCCGUUAACGAGCGAGAUCUUAACCUGCUAAAUAGGUCGCCAAACUUCGGUUUCGUAGUACCUUCUUAGAGGGACUUUGCGUGUUUAACGCAAGGAAGUUUGAGGCAAUAACAGG